Molecule: ribosomal RNA, 397 nt
Filed under: uncultured bacterium
Lineage: Bacteria
Description: partial 16S ribosomal RNA
Rfam family: Bacterial small subunit ribosomal RNA
Source: RNAcentral
AUACGUAGGGGGCGAGCGUUGUCCGGAAUGAUUGGGCGUAAAGGGCGCGUAGGCGGCCCGGUAAGUCUGGAGUGAAAGUCCUGUUUUUAAGAUGGGAAUUGCUUUGGAUACUGUCGGGCUUGAGUGCAGGAGAGGUAAGUGGAAUUCCCAGUGUAGCGGUGAAAUGCGUAGAGAUUGGGAGGAACACCAGUGGCGAAGGCGUCUUACUGGACUGUAACUGACGCUGAGGCGCGAAAGUGUGGGGAGCAAACAGGAUUAGAUACCCUGGUAGUCCACACUGUAAACGAUGAAUGCUAGGUGUAGGGGGUAUCGACCCCUUCUGUGCCGCAGUCAACACAAUAAGCAUUCCGCCUGGGGAGUACGGCCGCAAGGUUGAAACUCAAAUGAAUUGACGGGG